Molecule: ribosomal RNA, 522 nt
Filed under: uncultured bacterium
Lineage: Bacteria
Description: bacterial SSU rRNA
Rfam family: Bacterial small subunit ribosomal RNA
Source: RNAcentral
AGAGUUUGAUCCUGGCUUAGGAUGAACGCUAGCGAUAGGCCUAACACAUGCAAGUCGAGGGGCAGCACAUGAAGCAGCAAUGCGGAUGGUGGCGACCGGCGCACGGGUGAGUAACGCGUAUGCAACCUACCUACAACAGGGGAAUAACCCGUUGAAAAACGGACUAAUACCCCAUAAAACAGGGAUCCCGCAUGGGAAUAUUUGUUAAAGAUUUAUCGGUUGUAGAUGGGCACGCGUUCCAUUAGCUAGUUGGUGAGGUAACGGCUCACCAAGGCAACGAUGGAUAGGGGAACUGAGAGGUUUAUCCCCCACACUGGUACUGAGACACGGACCAGACUCCUACGGGAGGCAGCAGUGAGGAAUAUUGGUCAAUGGGCGCAAGCCUGAACCGGCCCACGUCGUGUGAAGGAAGACGGCCCUACGGGUUGUAAACUUCUUUUGUAAGGGAAUAAAGUGUAGUACGUGUACUAUUUUGCAUGUACCUUACGAAUAAGGAUCGGCUAACUCCGUGCCAGCAGCAGC